RNAcentral lists this ribosomal RNA (375 nucleotides) under Helicotricha carusoi. RNAcentral's name for it is "partial 16S ribosomal RNA". It matches the Rfam family "Bacterial large subunit ribosomal RNA", at positions 1947 to 2610 of the family's 2925-position model. Lineage: Eukaryota; Metazoa; Mollusca; Gastropoda; Stylommatophora; Hygromiidae. The record is from RNAcentral.
UGUGCAAAGGUAGCAUAAUCAUUUGUCUCAUAAUUGGAGUCUGGCAUGAAGGAAUUUAUUGGGUAAAAACUGUCUCCGAAGGUUUAUUAGAAAUUACUUAGCAAGUGAAAAUACUUGUAGUUAUUUAAUAGACGAGAAGACCCUAGAAAUUUUAUAUAAUACAUGUUCAACAUGUUAUUAUUUUGUUGGGGCGACAGAAUAACAAUUAACUUAUUUUAUUUGUUAGAACUAUAUGUUGAGUUAAAUUAAAUUACUCUAGGGAUAACAGCAUAAUUUAUUAGAGUUUGUGACCUCGAUGUUGGACUAGGAAGUUUAGUAUUUAGAAGAUACUAAUAUGGGCUCUGUUCGAGCCAUUAUAUCCUACAUGAUCUGAGU